UGGGGAAUAUUGCACAAUGGGCGCAAGCCUGAUGCAGCCAUGCCGCGUGUAUGAAGAAGGCCUUCGGGUUGUAAAGUACUUUCAGCAGUGAGGAAGGUUCAUACGUUAAUAGCGUAUGGAUUUGACGUUAGCUGCAGAAGAAGCACCGGCUAACUCCGUGCCAGCAGCCGCGGUAAUACGGAGGGUGCGAGCGUUAAUCGGAAUUACUGGGCGUAAAGCGCAUGCAGGUGGUUCGUUAAGUCAGAUGUGAAAGCCCGGGGCUCAACCUCGGAACUGCAUUUGAAACUGGCGGACUAGAGUACUGUAGAGGGGGGUAGAAUUUCAGGUGUAGCGGUGAAAUGCGUAGAGAUCUGAAGGAAUACCGGUGGCGAAGGCGGCCCCCUGGACAGAUACUGACACUCAGAUGCGAAAGCGUGGGGAGCAAACAGGAUUAGAUACCCCCGUAGUCC
RNAcentral lists this ribosomal RNA (449 nucleotides) under uncultured prokaryote. RNAcentral's name for it is "bacterial SSU rRNA". It matches the Rfam family "Bacterial small subunit ribosomal RNA", at positions 355 to 796 of the family's 1533-position model. The record is from RNAcentral.